Molecule: long non-coding RNA, 4264 nt
Filed under: Marmota monax (woodchuck)
Lineage: Eukaryota; Metazoa; Chordata; Mammalia; Rodentia; Sciuridae
Source: RNAcentral
UUUUUUUUUAACACAGUCUGCUAACAUCUGCUGGGGGGCUGGGGAGGAUGGAAUAAUAAGCCUCACAAGCCUAAAUGUUCUUGACUUUUCAUUUCUUAAACUGCCUUAUCUAAGCACUGAGCCCUCUUCAGUGCUACAAUUUUUAAAAAGAAUGUUAUAUUAAGGUGUAUGAAAAGCCAUGGUAGUUUUCAAAGAUUUUAAUAAUUGUUUGAUAUAGUGGUAUUAGUACUUUCCUCAUUGCUCUGGACCAAACCUAGAGCAUUUCUAUAAUUGAAGCAAUCUAAUCAUUAAAAGUGCGUGUGGAAGCAUUUGGGGGAGUAGGGUAUUGUUUAGUUUGAGCUUUCCUUGACCACAAUUCAUAGGUUGAGGCUGUUUGUUUGUUUAAGGCAUUGUAAAAUGACUGAGUUUGUUGUAACCUCAGUGUAACUUGGGACAGCCUUUUCCAAGACUCCAUUGCUUUAGUUCCCUCAGGAAAAGUUGCAGAAAUUAAGCUAAGUUGGCUUUUAAGACUGAUUGCUAUAUAACAAAUUACCUCAAACUUAGUGGCUUAAAACAUGACAUGUAUUUAUUAUUUCAGUUGUGGGUCAAGAGUCUAGCUACAGUUCUCUGUUUAGGGCCUCACAGGGCUACAGUCAACCAGUCAGCUUCUGAAGCUGGGGGUCGUCUUCUAUACCUUUAGGACAGAAUUCAUUUCCUUGCACUUCUAGAGUUCAUGGCCGCAUGCUUCUUUACGGCUAGCAAGAGAAUCUGUGAUCUUGAGGAAGACCCAAGCCUUCUUUCAAAGGUCCCACCUGAUUAGCUCAAAUCCCUCUCCUGUCCCUUUUGGUUAACUUAGAGCCUUAAUUACACCACCAAAUUCCUUCACCUUUGUCCAUAUUCUAGUUCUAUCACAGGGGUUAGUUGUAUCCAUUAUAUUUACAUAACCUGCCACACUCAAGGAAUUACACAGUGUUUGCAUAUCAAGGAAGCCUCAGCCUUUGUAGAGUUCUACAUAUCAUGAAGGAAUACAAGUUUUUGGAACUUAUAUUAGAAGUGAUUAUUCUCUUACACUGCAAGCCUAUUUGGGGGUCAAGAUAUCCUAUGAGAACCUAAGGAAAACUGGACUAUUUACAUCAAAAGUGCACACACACAUGCAGUUUCCAUAUAGUUUUAUUAGAGAAUUGUAGGAGUCUGUGAAUUACAGAGUACAAGUAAUCUGUCCCAACACUCCCCUCAAACAAUUGAGUUUGAAAUUAAAAAGUGAUUGGCCAAGACCAUACAGCUCUUAAGGGCCAUUGAGGCCCAGAUCUUUGUUACCAUACCAUGCAGUGAUUCUUCCAAUUAAUUUACAACUAAUCUCAAUUUAUUUAAGUUUGUGAACCAAAGGCAAAAAAGAAUGUUUUUGCAUCUUGCUGUCUUGUCUUGUAUGUAAACUGGUCUGCUUCGCUUUAAUCAAAGAUAAUUACCUGGAGUUUACCUUUUUAUGUAUGAAACUUCAGUUAGAAUUAUUAUUGACUUUUUAAAGGUCUAGCUAUCUGGGUAUUCUUAAAUAAUUUUCACUUAUUGAUUAUUUACUCAUUGGAAAAUCUAUUAUAUGUCAUCAAAUUUAAUAUGAGGGAAGGGAAACAGUUUGCCCAGACAGACACCUGAUCUAGUAUUCCCAAGUUUAUUGUUUUGAACAUUUUAGGAGGUGAGGGGGACUUAAAACUUUUUAGAUAAGCACAUUAAUUAAGUUUUAUUUUGUUUUGUUAGGAUUAGGGAUGUAACUCAGGAAUAGAGUGCUUGCCAAGCAUGUACAAAGCCCUGGGUUUGAUCCCCAACGCCACCAAAAAAGAAAUACAAAAAAAACUUUUUUUAAAAAAAUCACAGUAAUAAGGGCUGGGCUUGUGCCUCAGUGGUGGAGCACUUUCCUAGCAUGUGUGAGGUACUGGGUUUGAUUCUCAGCACCGCAUACAAAUAAAUGAAUAAACGUCUAAAAAUAUAUUUUAAAAACAAUCACAGUAAUAAAAAAAUUGAUGCUUUAGGUCAAAUCAAGACAUAAACUGAUGACCAAAGUGCUUUUGGGGGCAGAGUAGGGGGUGGGGGCGGAGAUAGUGUCUUGCUCAGGCUGGUCUCUAACUUAGCUCAAGUGAUUCUCCUUCCUUGGCCUCCCCAGUAGUUGGAACUGUAGGCACACGCCACUGCACCUGGCUCCAUAAUACAAGUUGAUUUUUUAGUUAAUAAAUUUGGAAAAAAUAAUUUGUGAAACAGUGUGAUUAGAAGCAACUCAUUUUGUUAUUAAAUAGUCACGGACGGGGCUGGGGCUCAAUGGUGGAGCGCUUGCCUAGCAUGUGUGAGGCACUGGGUUUGAUCCUCAGUACAACAUAAAAAUAAAAGAAAAUUAAAAAUAGUCAAGGACAAGGCAAAAUAAAAACUUCAAAAAUUAAACCUAGCAAUAACCUUCAUUUCUAAUAGGCCUAAAUAAAUCUAGACCUUUAAGUAAUGGGAGUUUGAUUUGGAAUGUCCAUACCGAACUGUAUUUAUAAAAUUGAUUGACAGCUACACACUUUGAGUAGCUAAGUGUGAAGAAAAAUGUUCGUACAUACUCUCAAAUCUACGUCUCACCAGAGGACUGCUGCAUUCCCUUAUCACUUAUAUUCUGUGUCCUAAUCUCACAAAUUUCAUCUUUUGUAUUUAAAUGUGCUGCCUAUUCAAGGUUUCUUUGCUAUUACAGACCAUCAUUUCUUCCAGUGUUGUUCUUUGGAAAGGAAAUUUUUAUACCUUUUACUAACAUUUUUAUUAUUCUUCAAGCAUGAAUUCUAGUUUCCCUGAUCAUAUUUUAUUUCUGAUCAAAAGGUUGUAAUAGUCUGUUUUUCUGUUGAUAAUUGAAUACCUUAAAACAGGAUAAGUUUUAAAGAAAAGAGUUAAUUAUUUUGACUCACAGUUCCAGUCCAAGCUCAAGGGACCUCAUCUGGUGAUGGUGGUCUUGCUGAAAGAGUCCUGGUGAUCCAGAGUAUCUCAUACCAAGAGUAUCGCAUGUGUGUAUAUGUGUGUCUACCUGGCUUCUCUUCUCACACUACAAGAAUUCAAUCACGACUCCACUGUGACGACUUUGUCUAAUCUUAAAAAAUCCCCAAAGGCUUCAACUCUAAACAUAGUUGAGAAGUCUUCACCCUCUUAAUACCUCAUAAUGGGAAUUAAAUUUCAACACUUGGAGCCCUGGGAGACUCUCAAUCCUAGUAAUAAGUAAUGAACUCCUGAACUGUGGCUAUUUUAGUUUUACCCAAGAUUUUCUCUAGCCUGUUUGUAUUCUUUGAAACAACUGUUAAAAAUUUCUAAUGAUCUUAAAUCUACAUGGCUUUUGUGGUACAAUCUCUAGUUGCUUGCCUUCCAGAUAAUUCCCUCAGUAUUCUAUUUCUCUGAGUUUUGAGCCCUUUGAGCCGCCCUUCCCUCAUCUUGUGUACAUAGUUACCUUCUUUAUUUUUCUUUCAGUGCUGGGGAUUAAACUCAGGGCCUUGUGCACACAAUACCUCUGAGCUACAUCCUCAGUCUACCUUUUUAACUCUUUAGUGAAGUGAUACUAUCCAACUCUAGGGCUCUGCUAAAUGGUAUUUUUCUUUCAAAAAGAAAACCACAUUUUGACUCAUAAUUGUGGGGGCAUCAAUAAUGACCUUAUUCCCUCUCCUACAAUAUCACCAUACUACUUGUUUCUUGAUUGACCCCCUGUUCAACCCAGCAUAAAACUUAACUAUUGUGGGUAUUUUCUAUCUCCAAUCUUUUCAGUUUAUAUUUGCAAUGUGCUGCCUCCAUAAAUAGGUAUAUUCUACAAAUCUAGUGUUUCCCAGUACAAUGUUCAGGAUGCACUCUCACUAUAUAACUAGCAAUUAAUUCUGCUACAUCUGUAUUGUUAUGUCCAGUUCAGUGUUCUUUAGUAAUAGUUUUGGUUAUCUUAAUAUUCUUAAUUAAAGUUAACUGUUAUUUGUGUAUAUAGAACUGAUGCAGAUAAACUCACAUUCUCCCUUCCCUCCUCCCCUUUUAACCGGUUCAGUAUUGUCUAAGGCAACUGUUACCUUAAAUAGUAGCUUGUAAUAGAGGUGCUAAAAGUACAGCAAAGUUUGCCCAUAAUCUCCAUCCCCAUACUCAUUCUGUGAUCCUCCCCAGCUGCAGGGAGUAAGGAACGAGAGCAGCAUAGUUUUGUUUGCAAUCAGAAUUUUUUUUUUCCAUUCUGUGCCCCUUGAAUAUUAUAGUGAUUUCUUUCCUUCAAGAAAUCAGGAAAGGGCUGGGGAUGUGGCUCAAGCGGUAGAGC